This 1092-nucleotide ribosomal RNA is filed under the name Salmonella enterica subsp. enterica serovar Enteritidis. RNAcentral's name for it is "partial 23S ribosomal RNA". It matches the Rfam family "Bacterial large subunit ribosomal RNA", at positions 137 to 1269 of the family's 2925-position model. The record is from RNAcentral. Lineage: Bacteria; Pseudomonadati; Pseudomonadota; Gammaproteobacteria; Enterobacterales; Enterobacteriaceae.
GAUUCGUCACACUAUCAUUAACUGAAUCCAUAGGUUAAUGAGGCGAACCGGGGGAACUGAAACAUCUAAGUACCCCGAGGAAAAGAAAUCAACCGAGAUUCCCCCAGUAGCGGCGAGCGAACGGGGAGGAGCCCAGAGCCUGAAUCAGCAUGUGUGUUAGUGGAAGCGUCUGGAAAGGCGCGCGAUACAGGGUGACAGCCCCGUACACAAAAGCGCAUGUGCUGUGAGCUCGAUGAGUAGGGCGGGACACGUGGUAUCCUGUCUGAAUAUGGGGGGACCAUCCUCCAAGGCUAAAUACUCCUGACUGACCGAUAGUGAACCAGUACCGUGAGGGAAAGGCGAAAAGAACCCCGGCGAGGGGAGUGAAAAAGAACCUGAAACCGUGUACGUACAAGCAGUGGGAGCACCCUUUGGGUGUGACUGCGUACCUUUUGUAUAAUGGGUCAGCGACUUAUAUUCUGUAGCAAGGUUAACCGAAUAGGGGAGCCGGAGGGAAACCGAGUCUUAACCGGGCGUUAAGUUGCAGGGUAUAGACCCGAAACCCGGUGAUCUAGCCAUGGGCAGGUUGAAGGUUGGGUAACACUAACUGGAGGACCGAACCGACUAAUGUUGAAAAAUUAGCGGAUGACCUGUGGCUGGGGGUGAAAGGCCAAUCAAACCGGGAGAUAGCUGGUUCUCCCCGAAAGCUAUUUAGGUAGCGCCUCGUGAAUUCAUCUCCGGGGGUAGAGCACUGUUUCGGCUAGGGGGCCAUCCCGGCUUACCAACCCGAUGCAAACUGCGAAUACCGGAGAAUGUUAUCACGGGAGACACACGGCGGGUGCUAACGUCCGUCGUGAAGAGGGAAACAACCCAGACCGCCAGCUAAGGUCCCAAAGUCAUGGUUAAGUGGGAAACGAUGUGGGAAGGCCCAGACAGCCAGGAUGUUGGCUUAGAAGCAGCCAUCAUUUAAAGAAAGCGUAAUAGCUCACUGGUCGAGUCGGCCUGCGCGGAAGAUGUAACGGGGCUAAACCAUGCACCGAAGCUGCGGCAGCGACACUGUGUGUUGUUGGGUAGGGGAGCGUUCUGUAAGCCUGUGAAGGUGUGUCGUGAGGC